RNAcentral lists this ribosomal RNA (2903 nucleotides) under Enterobacter hormaechei. RNAcentral describes it as "23S ribosomal RNA". It matches the Rfam family "Bacterial large subunit ribosomal RNA". Lineage: Bacteria; Pseudomonadati; Pseudomonadota; Gammaproteobacteria; Enterobacterales; Enterobacteriaceae. The record is from RNAcentral.
UUAAGCGACUAAGCGUACACGGUGGAUGCCCUGGCAGUCAGAGGCGAUGAAGGACGUGCUAAUCUGCGAAAAGCGCCGGCGAGGUGAUAUGAACCUUUGACCCGGCGAUGUCCGAAUGGGGAAACCCAGUGCAAUUCGUUGCACUAUCGUUAACUGAAUACAUAGGUUAACGAGGCGAACCGGGGGAACUGAAACAUCUAAGUACCCCGAGGAAAAGAAAUCAACCGAGAUUCCCCCAGUAGCGGCGAGCGAACGGGGAGCAGCCCGGAGUCUGAAUCAGCUUGUGUGUUAGUGGAACGGUCUGGAAAGUCCGACGGUACAGGGUGAUAGUCCCGUACACGAAAGCACACUUGCUGUGAACUCGAAGAGUAGGGCGGGACACGUGGUAUCCUGUCUGAAUAUGGGGGGACCAUCCUCCAAGGCUAAAUACUCCUGACUGACCGAUAGUGAACCAGUACCGUGAGGGAAAGGCGAAAAGAACCCCGGCGAGGGGAGUGAAAAAGAACCUGAAACCGUGUACGUACAAGCAGUGGGAGCCUCUUUAUGGGGUGACUGCGUACCUUUUGUAUAAUGGGUCAGCGACUUAUAUUCUGUAGCAAGGUUAACCGUAUAGGGGAGCCGAAGGGAAACCGAGUCUUAACUGGGCGUUAAGUUGCAGGGUAUAGACCCGAAACCCGGUGAUCUAGCCAUGGGCAGGUUGAAGGUUGGGUAACACUAACUGGAGGACCGAACCGACUAAUGUUGAAAAAUUAGCGGAUGACCUGUGGCUGGGGGUGAAAGGCCAAUCAAACCGGGAGAUAGCUGGUUCUCCCCGAAAGCUAUUUAGGUAGCGCCUCGUGAACUCAUCUUCGGGGGUAGAGCACUGUUUCGGCUAGGGGGCCAUCCCGGCUUACCAACCCGAUGCAAACUACGAAUACCGAAGAAUGUUAUCACGGGAGACACACGGCGGGUGCUAACGUCCGUCGUGAAGAGGGAAACAACCCAGACCGCCAGCUAAGGUCCCAAAGUCAUGGUUAAGUGGGAAACGAUGUGGGAAGGCACAGACAGCCAGGAUGUUGGCUUAGAAGCAGCCAUCAUUUAAAGAAAGCGUAAUAGCUCACUGGUCGAGUCGGCCUGCGCGGAAGAUGUAACGGGGCUAAACCAUGCACCGAAGCUGCGGCAGCGACGCUUAUGCGUUGUUGGGUAGGGGAGCGUUCUGUAAGCCGUUGAAGGUGUCCUGUGAGGGGUGCUGGAGGUAUCAGAAGUGCGAAUGCUGACAUAAGUAACGAUAAAGCGGGUGAAAAGCCCGCUCGCCGGAAGACCAAGGGUUCCUGUCCAACGUUAAUCGGGGCAGGGUGAGUCGACCCCUAAGGCGAGGCCGAAAGGCGUAGUCGAUGGGAAACAGGUUAAUAUUCCUGUACUUGGUGUUACUGCGAAGGGGGGACGGAGAAGGCUAUGUCAGCCGGGCGACGGUUGUCCCGGUUUAAGCAUGUAGGCGGAGGUUCCAGGUAAAUCCGGUACCUUAUUAACGCUGAGGUGUGAUGACGAGGCACUACGGUGCUGAAGUGAUAAAUGCCCUGCUUCCAGGAAAAGCCUCUAAGCAUCAGGUAACACGAAAUCGUACCCCAAACCGACACAGGUGGUCAGGUAGAGAAUACCAAGGCGCUUGAGAGAACUCGGGUGAAGGAACUAGGCAAAAUGGUGCCGUAACUUCGGGAGAAGGCACGCUGAUAUGUAGGUGAAGUCCCUGCGGACGGAGCUGAAAUCAGUCGAAGAUACCAGCUGGCUGCAACUGUUUAUUAAAAACACAGCACUGUGCAAACACGAAAGUGGACGUAUACGGUGUGACGCCUGCCCGGUGCCGGAAGGUUAAUUGAUGGGGUUAGCGGCAACGCGAAGCUCUUGAUCGAAGCCCCGGUAAACGGCGGCCGUAACUAUAACGGUCCUAAGGUAGCGAAAUUCCUUGUCGGGUAAGUUCCGACCUGCACGAAUGGCGUAAUGAUGGCCAGGCUGUCUCCACCCGAGACUCAGUGAAAUUGAACUCGCUGUGAAGAUGCAGUGUACCCGCGGCAAGACGGAAAGACCCCGUGAACCUUUACUAUAGCUUGACACUGAACACUGGUCCUUGAUGUGUAGGAUAGGUGGGAGGCUUUGAAGCGUGGACGCCAGUCUGCGUGGAGCCAACCUUGAAAUACCACCCUUUAAUGGCUGGUGUUCUAACGUAGACCCGUAAUCCGGGUUGCGGACAGUGUCUGGUGGGUAGUUUGACUGGGGCGGUCUCCUCCCAAAGAGUAACGGAGGAGCACGAAGGUUGGCUAAUCCUGGUCGGACAUCAGGAGGUUAGUGCAAUGGCAUAAGCCAGCUUGACUGCGAGCGUGACGGCGCGAGCAGGUGCGAAAGCAGGUCAUAGUGAUCCGGUGGUUCUGAAUGGAAGGGCCAUCGCUCAACGGAUAAAAGGUACUCCGGGGAUAACAGGCUGAUACCGCCCAAGAGUUCAUAUCGACGGCGGUGUUUGGCACCUCGAUGUCGGCUCAUCACAUCCUGGGGCUGAAGUAGGUCCCAAGGGUAUGGCUGUUCGCCAUUUAAAGUGGUACGCGAGCUGGGUUUAGAACGUCGUGAGACAGUUCGGUCCCUAUCUGCCGUGGGCGCUGGAGAAUUGAGGGGGGCUGCUCCUAGUACGAGAGGACCGGAGUGGACGCAUCACUGGUGUUCGGGUUGUCAUGCCAAUGGCACUGCCCGGUAGCUAAAUGCGGAAGAGAUAAGUGCUGAAAGCAUCUAAGCACGAAACUUGCCCCGAGAUGAGUUCUCCCUGAGACUUUAAGUCUCCUGAAGGAACGUUGAAGACGACGACGUUGAUAGGUCGGGUGUGUAAGCGCAGCGAUGCGUUGAGCUAACCGAUACUAAUGAACCGUGAGGCUUAACCU